CUCCAUACAUUGAUCAACAUAGCGACACUACUCAUUUGUUUGUGCUUGAAUUGUCUGGCUAUUAUCCACAAGGAGCUAUUGUCAAUUGUAGUUAAGGAUAUCUACGAAGUGCCCCUCAAGGUAAGAUAACUAUUAACUAAACCCCUUUUGGUUGUGAUUUAUCAAUCAAAAUACAUCUUUGUCACAUGGUUAUAUGGUCUUAGGAUCAUAACAAGUUUUUAAAGACCAUUUCCACUACAGCCCGGUAUUGUUUUGAAUCCCAACAAUUCCUAUUGUAAAUAUAACGUAGUUUGAGUGGAAGGAAGUUGAACACUUAAACUGGAAACUAACAUCUUAAAAGGCCAGAAAGUCCUUUAGUAAAGAUAUUUAUCUAUUGGUAUUUCGUUGAAACAUAAAGAACCCUAAGAGUCCUUACUUGAAUCUUUUAUUGUAUGAAUUUGAGAAGUAAAACAAGACAUCUACAUCCCUUUUGAUUUGAUGUAAAACAAGUAAGCACAAUGAGAUACAUGUCUUUCAAACCUCAUCGGAAUCUCUUAUUGAAUACUCUUAAGUGGACUGUUUUCACAAAUUAAUGAAUUAAUAAAGUAUUAUUUGUUGGAUUAUAGACUAAGUUUCCUAAUAAUUAAGAUCUUCAAGGGGCCUCACGAACAUGAAUUAGAAGAUGUAUGGAAGGCCUUUAAUGUUUGAUCGAUUGGUUGCAUGAUCGCAUCCAAUACUUCCAUCUAACAAUCCAAGGUCUAAUCGAACAAACAAUUUUCUUUUACACAUCAAUCAUAAUUAAUAAAAAUUAUCCAAUUCUUUUACAUACAAGUAUAUUAAUCAAUGAAUAUCUUUCUAAAAAACCCAGAAAAUAAUGAAUCAAAACUUGUUUAGAUCCUCAAGAAAAAAGGAUCAAAUCUUAAUGUAACACUAGACUCUCGAAGCAGUGAAGUCCAUCCAACUCCGGCGCCCACCGACCACCGGAAUAUUCCCUCUUGCUCCGGUGACAAUCGGUGUUCUUGUUGGUUUCAUGCGUCACCUUCUUUUGAUCAUCUUGAAUGGUGGAAGCAGGAUUCUUUGUGUUAAAGAAAGAAAAAGAUUGGCACAUGAAUUCGGCAGAUAAAGCAUCGAAGGAACUGAAGAUGGAAUUCAUGUUUGAUGAUAUAUAAUGAACUGAUUGAUUCAAUUUGUUUACGUUUGAAAAGAUGAGAGAAGAUGAAUGAAGAUUGAAUUGUGUGAGCGGUUUAUAAACCAGAAGAAAGACGUUGAAUCCUUGCAAGUUCCGAUAUGCUUUUCGUUUUCAAGUUUCAACGCGUUGAAUUAUUAAAUGACGAAAUGUGUCGGCGUUGAAGAUAUUCUAAAAUAAAACCAACGUUUUUUAUAACAUAAAUAUAAACUUCAAACUCAAUUAGAGAGAAUUUAUUGCAAGUUGUCGUCAAUGGAUGUCUGAUUUUUCACACGACACUGCCGAUGAACGCCGCGGGACCGGCGCAGUCAAAGACGGCGGCGUUCACACGUCUCUUUUUUUUUUUUAACGGAGUUACACGAAUGGUCCCUAUGGUUUGAG
Molecule: long non-coding RNA, 1546 nt
Filed under: Lactuca sativa (garden lettuce)
Lineage: Eukaryota; Viridiplantae; Streptophyta; Magnoliopsida; Asterales; Asteraceae
Description: long non-coding RNA (LSAT_LNC006724)
Source: RNAcentral